UGGGCCCACGUUACCUACCUGCCCGCCCUAGCACCGCUCAGCUGUGUUUACACGUGUAUGUUGAUGCGGCCAGCUUGUCGACUUUUUUCCUCUGUAUAUGCCAACUGCUUAUCGCCUGUUGCCUGCGAGACACCCAAUCAGCAGCCAAUUAAACAGCUUGUACUAGCAUAAGUAAGUGCAGCGUCGUAAAAACGAUAGCCGGCAGUGUCGCGGCGUUACGGCGCAACGGACGGAUCGCUUAUCGUCGUGAUGAUGAUAAGAAGGAGUGGACCUAUAUUGAUUUAAUAGAAGUAUCGCCAGUGACAGCGUCUCGGCAGUCGAUGUUAACCGUUGAUUAGCCGUCUGUGUUUUUUCAACUGCAGAGCGUCUGCCGUGGACAACGGAAUGGUCAGGAGAAUAGGAAAUUGAAUAGGCAAUCAUAUUGCAACAAAUAACUGCACAACAGGCCUGACUGGACGACUUCUUCGAUACUGCUACUGCAGACGGUGUCGCAAGCUCUUUGCAAGAACUUCUAUAUGUUUUAGCCGUCAGAGACAGACCUUUGAUCGCAAAAGCUCAAUUACAAGUCUCGUAGUGUGCUGCCGUAUAUCUCCUUCGCGGUCGUUGUGCAUAGUGCGGAAAGGGCAACGGUAGGGCAACACAAGAGAACCACAGCAGCAGUAACGGCAAAGCUAUUCCACUUACACGCAAAUACAGCAGCGAUAGAAAAAGAGUAAAAAGAAAAGUUGUUUAUUACGUGUUCAAAGAGCAGUAACGACAGUCACCUACCAAGCCUGUUCUGAUUGUCAGUAGCUCAAUAUUGCCAGUAGCUGAACGACGAAUAGAACGAGCGAACAAAGUAAGCCAGCGUGUUCGUUUCUGCCGUUCGUCCGUAAUCCACGCAAACGCUGCCUUCGUAACAAUCACCGGCUGUUUUGCUGUUGCGCCUGUGAUCCAUUAUUAACAAGCAGCUGUCUGGUUCUGACUGACAAACGGAAACUCCACUCAGGCUCCCAGUUUCUUGGGACAAAUAUAUUUGUAGUUGACAUUGAAUUACACAGUAACUAAUUGUAGCAAGAUUUGAAUAUGGAGUUUCUCUACAUGAUCUUACUGCUAUUGAUUCCCGGAGGAAUAAUUGGAUUUGUAGCCCGCAAGUUACUCCGACAGUAUGAAGAGCGAGACCGGAGAGCAGAAGAAAAGCGACUCGCGCGUCAGCAAAAAAAA
Varroa destructor (honeybee mite) is the source of this 1203-nucleotide long non-coding RNA. NCBI's taxonomy places the organism in Eukaryota, Metazoa, Arthropoda, Arachnida, Mesostigmata, Varroidae. The record is from RefSeq and is a predicted model, not a curated record.